This 560-nucleotide ribosomal RNA is filed under the name uncultured Flavobacteriia bacterium. RNAcentral's name for it is "bacterial SSU rRNA". It matches the Rfam family "Bacterial small subunit ribosomal RNA", at positions 58 to 608 of the family's 1533-position model. Lineage: Bacteria; Pseudomonadati; Bacteroidota; Flavobacteriia. The record is from RNAcentral.
CAAGUCGUGGGGCAGCAGGUCUGUAGCAAUACAGACGCUGGCGACCGGCAAAUGGGUGCGGAACACGCUACACAACCUUCCUUUAAGUGGGGAAUAGCCCAGAGAAAUUUGGAUUAAUACCCCGUGACAUUUUGAAGUGGCAUCACUUUAUAAUUAUAGCUACGGCGCUUAAUGAUGGGUGUGCGUCUGAUUAGGUAGUUGGCGGAGUAAUAGCCCACCAAGCCUACGAUCAGUAACUGGUGUGAGAGCACGACCAGUCACACGGGCACUGAGACACGGGCCCGACUCCUACGGGAGGCAGCAGUAAGGAAUAUUGGGCAAUGGACGCAAGUCUGACCCAGCCAUGCCGCGUGGAGGAUGAAGGUCCUCUGGAUUGUAAACUUCUUUUAUCUGGGAAGAAAUCCAUCUUUUCUUGGGUGGUUGACGGUACCAGAUGAAUAAGCACCGGCUAACUCCGUGCCAGCAGCCGCGGUAAUACGGAGGGUGCAAGCGUUAUCCGGAUUCACUGGGUUUAAAGGGUGCGUAGGUGGGCAGGUAAGUCAGUGGUGAAAUCCGGCAGC